Molecule: ribosomal RNA, 397 nt
Filed under: uncultured bacterium
Lineage: Bacteria
Description: partial 16S ribosomal RNA
Rfam family: Bacterial small subunit ribosomal RNA
Source: RNAcentral
AUACGUAGGGGGCGAGCGUUGUCCGGAAUGAUUGGGCGUAAAGGGCGCGUAGGCGGCCCGGUAAGUCUGGAGUGAAAGUCCUGUUUUUAAGAUGGGAAUUGCUUUGGAUACUGUCGGGCUUGAGUGCAGGAGAGGUCAGUGGAAUUCCCAGUGUAGCGGUGAAAUGCGUAGAGAUUGGGAGGAACACCAGUGGCGAAGGCGACUUACUGGACUGUAACUGACGCUGAGGCGCGGAAGUGUGGGGAGCAAACAGGAUUAGAUACCCUGGUAGUCCACACUGUAAACGAUGAAUGCUAGGUGUAGGGGGUAUCGACCCCUUCUGUGCCGCAGUCAACACAAUAAGCAUUCCGCCUGGGGAGUACGGCCGCAAGGUUGAAACUCAAAGGAAUUGACGGGG